Molecule: long non-coding RNA, 754 nt
Organism: Galeopterus variegatus (Sunda flying lemur)
Lineage: Eukaryota; Metazoa; Chordata; Mammalia; Dermoptera; Cynocephalidae
Exons: 2
Source: RefSeq, a predicted model, not a curated record
GAUGAGAAAAGAAAAAGCAAACGCAACCGAUAACUUUGGAGACAAAUGCAGCUAGUUUUUCCUUUCCUGCCAUCUUCCACUGGAGAGCACGAGUACUUACUCUGAAGCUGCAGGUAGGAACUCUGCAAGCCACUGGCAUGCAAGCCAGGAGGGGAAAGGUGCCGCAGCGCCCCAGGCCCUCACUCCCCCGCCCCGGGAGUCUGCCAGGCCAGCAAGCGUGGCAUUCAGCACAGAGGCUGCAAAGGACGGUCAGAGCACCGUGGAGACCUGGUCUGUGCAGAUUGGCCUACCCCGGCCCCUGGGGAACAAGGAUGCCCCUUCCAAAGUCUCACCCCAACUAGAUGAUAAGCUGCUGAAGGUCCCCUGUCAAGAAACAGAAUGGCUCAGUGCCUAGGUGCAGGCUCUGACUUUUCAUCUGUGUUCAGAUCCUGCCUCCCUACUUACAAGCUCUGUUACCUCACCCUGGAUGAAGAAACUGAGACUCAGGGAAGUCAAGUGACUCGCCCAAGAACAGUGAAGGGUGUGUGUAAACCUGUGUCUGUCUACACCUUUAACCAGUGCUGUGCUGUCAAACCUGGCAUUUCAGCCCCACACAGUACCCAUGAAGGAGAUGACACUAGCCCUAUCUUCUCUCACACACAGGUGUGGCCCGAUGUCAGGCCUGUCAGAGUCUGUGUCCAGAGCCCCUGCACCCAGUGUAAGAUGUUGAAAAUAAAAACCCAAGGUGUGACUUCGGUCUGUUAUAAUAAGGAGA